GACGAACGCUGGCGGCGUGCUUAACACAUGCAAGUCGAACGGUAAGGCCCUGUUUUUGUGCGGUGCUCGAGUGGCGAACGGGUGAGUAUCACGUGAGUAACCUGCCCUUUACUGUGGGAUAACUUCAGGAAACUGGGGCUAAUAUCGGAUAUGAGCUCCUUCUGCAUGGUGGUGGUUGGAAAGUUACGGCGGUUGGGGAUGGACUCGCGGCGUAUCAUCUUGUUGGCGGGGUAGUGGAGUACCAAGGCCUUGACGGGUUGCCGGCCUGAGAGGGUGACCGGCCACAUUGGGACUGAGAAACGACCCAGACUGCUACGGGAGGCAGCAGUGGAGAAUAUUGCACAAUGGGCGGAAGCCUGAUGCAGCAACGCCGCGUGCGGGAUGACGGCCUUCGGGUUGUAAACCGCUUUCGCCUGUGACGAAGCGUGAGUGACGGUAAUGGGUAAAGAAGCACCGGCUAACUACGUG
Molecule: ribosomal RNA, 468 nt
Filed under: uncultured bacterium
Lineage: Bacteria
Description: partial 16S ribosomal RNA
Rfam family: Bacterial small subunit ribosomal RNA
Source: RNAcentral